AAGAUGCUAAUACCGGAUAACAACAGAUGAUGCCUAUCAACUGUUUAAAAGAUGGUUCUGCUAUCACUCUUGGAUGGACCUGCGGUGCAUUAGCUAGUUGGUAGGGUAACGGCCUACCAAGGCGAUGAUGCAUAGCCGAGUUGAGAGACUGAUCGGCCACAUUGGGACUGAGACACGGCCCAAACUCCUACGGGAGGCAGCAGCC
Molecule: ribosomal RNA, 205 nt
Filed under: uncultured Lactobacillus sp.
Lineage: Bacteria; Bacillati; Bacillota; Bacilli; Lactobacillales; Lactobacillaceae
Description: partial 16S ribosomal RNA
Rfam family: Bacterial small subunit ribosomal RNA
Source: RNAcentral